Molecule: ribosomal RNA, 714 nt
Filed under: Salmonella enterica subsp. enterica serovar Kentucky
Lineage: Bacteria; Pseudomonadati; Pseudomonadota; Gammaproteobacteria; Enterobacterales; Enterobacteriaceae
Description: partial 23S ribosomal RNA
Rfam family: Bacterial large subunit ribosomal RNA
Source: RNAcentral
UGUUUCGGCUAGGGGGCCAUCCCGGCUUACCAACCCGAUGCAAACUGCGAAUACCGGAGAAUGUUAUCACGGGAGACACACGGCGGGUGCUAACGUCCGUCGUGAAGAGGGAAACAACCCAGACCGCCAGCUAAGGUCCCAAAGUCAUGGUUAAGUGGGAAACGAUGUGGGAAGGCCCAGACAGCCAGGAUGUUGGCUUAGAAGCAGCCAUCAUUUAAAGAAAGCGUAAUAGCUCACUGGUCGAGUCGGCCUGCGCGGAAGAUGUAACGGGGCUAAACCAUGCACCGAAGCUGCGGCAGCGAACGUAUCACUUAAAGCGAUUCAGCGGAUGACGAUUGACGGAGCGAAGCGACGUCAAAGCGUAUACAAAGUCGAGUCGGUUUAAGGAUACGUUCGUUGGGUAGGGGAGCGUUCUGUAAGCCUGUGAAGGUGGCCUGUGAGGGUUGCUGGAGGUAUCAGAAGUGCGAAUGCUGACAUAAGUAACGAUAAAGCGGGUGAAAAGCCCGCUCGCCGGAAGACCAAGGGUUCCUGUCCAACGUUAAUCGGGGCAGGGUGAGUCGACCCCUAAGGCGAGGCCGAAAGGCGUAGUCGAUGGGAAACGGGUUAAUAUUCCCGUACUUGGUGUUACUGCGAAGGGGGGACGGAGAAGGCUAUGUUGGCCGGGCGACGGUUGUCCCGGUUUAAGCGUGUAGGCUGGUUUUCCAGGCAAAUCCG